RNAcentral lists this ribosomal RNA (477 nucleotides) under uncultured bacterium. RNAcentral's name for it is "partial 16S ribosomal RNA". It matches the Rfam family "Bacterial small subunit ribosomal RNA", at positions 28 to 523 of the family's 1533-position model. The record is from RNAcentral.
GACGAACGCUGGCGGCGUGCUUAACACAUGCAAGUCGAGCGGAAAGGCCCUUCGGGGUACUCGAGCGGCGAACGGGUGAGUAACACGUGGGCAAUCUGCCCCGCGCUCUGGGAUAACUCCGGGAAACCGGGGCUAAUACCGGAUAGGAACCCCUUAGGCAUCUUUGGGGUUGGAAAGUUUUUCGGCGCGGGAUGAGCCCGCGGCCUAUCAGCUUGUUGGUGGGGUAAUGGCCUACCAAGGCAGUGACGGGUAGCCGGCCUGAGAGGGCGACCGGCCACACUGGGACUGAGACACGGCCCAGACUCCUACGGGAGGCAGCAGUGGGGAAUAUUGCGCAAUGGGCGAAAGCCUGACGCAGCGACGCCGCGUGAGGGAUGACGGCCUUCGGGUUGUAAACCUCUUUCAGCAGGGACGAAGCGCAAGUGACGGUACCUGCAGAAGAAGCACCGGCCAACUACGUGCCAGCCGCCGCGGUAA